ACAUUUCUUUCCCUCUCUUCACUAGUGAACCCCACCGACAAACUCCUCUCUGCCUAACCCUUCCACAUUGCCUAAAUGCCUUUGUGUUUUCUCCCCUUCGCAUUUUCCUUCCUGAACCUAAACGCCUAAACGCCUUCCUAAACCUUAAUCGACAAAAUACAUCUCUGUCAAACCCUAAGCCUUUCGUCGUGUAGCGCUGGCACAGUCCUCCACCAUUACUGGCAAGCCCCUCUCCCUCCUUUGCUCCUCCCUCGCUUGACAGCGCCACUAGACCAGCUGCUUCCUCUCCGAGUACGCUGCUCUAUCCUAGGGCCUCCCUCCGUCGCCCACCUCUGAUCCCCUUGUACAUGGCAAUGGAUUCAUCCCUGAGACAUGGCCUUCUAAUGACGCUGAGCAAUCUUCAACGUCAACAAGUGCUAGAGCUCAAAGAAGACAAGUGUCGCCUAAAAUAUACUAUGCCUCGAGGACUCACUCUGCGAUAACUUAGGUGAUUUGUAAAUACAGGAAGACAUCUUAUCAAGUGCCAAUUGCAGUGUUGGUUAGUGAAUUUCCUCGUGUUUGAACAUACAUCUGAAAUAUUGUAUUAUGAGAUAUUGGAUAUUCCUCUUCCUGAAUUGCAAGGUUUAAAAACUCUAAAACUAGCAUUCCACCAUGCCACAAAAGAGGAGGUUGGGUUGAUCCUUCUAUUCUUUAUAUAUUCUUGUUUUGUGAAAUUUUCUUAUAACUUAGAUGUUUUAUUUUUAGGUGGCAAUUCACAGCAUUCUACUUCCAAAAGAUAGCACUGUGGCAUGAAGCCAAUAUUUUCUACAUACACUUAGAAUUCCUCUCUUGUUUAGUUGUUUGGCAUUUUAACCUUCAUCUUACUUUUUAUCAAUGCAUAUCUUUCUUCCUGGUGAGAAGAUUGAGAACAUUAAUGAUCAGUACUGUACUUUGCGUGCAGAGGAGGUGAGUUUGUAUUGGGGAUAUUUUUACAUUUAUCUAAAAUUUAUUAUUUACAUGCUCUAUUGUGUUGUUUCAUCUCUGUUAGGAGACCUAUCAUUUUCAAGGUAAUCUUGUGCGAUUUUGUGUCAAAUAUUGUGAUUUAAUGGUAUCUUAUGAUUGAUUGGAUUUGGGUAUUCUCCUUGCAUAUCCCAGAAAAAGAGAAAAACAUUGGGCCUCACGAUCACUUGAUUCAUGUUUACCAUUUUAAUAGAGAUCCUAAUCAGAAACAAAUGGCGAGUAUAAUGUGUUUGACUUGUGCUAUUUUUUGGAGCUUUAAAUAAAAUAGAUGCAUUUAUCUUUUGGUAAUAAUUAUCAUCUGGUAUAUUUUAUAUUCUCUGCCAACAAAUUCUUGUGUGAUUUCUUUUUUACCUAUACUGAAACUUUUUCCCAUUCUUACUUAAUUGCCUUCUGUAGAUGUCCACAUGCUUUACUCUCUAUGCACUGACAGAGACAUAUUUCCAAUUGCUUUAUUAUAUACGAUAAAGGAUUGUCCUAAAAACUAGAGUGUCUAGCUAAUUGCAUUAUUAUACAGAUCCAUGAUUACUUUUUACCUCUCUAUAUAUCUUGUGAAGACAAACUUCCCUGAGAACUUCACAUUUUUUGUUUUUUUUUGCAGCAAGUUCAGGAUCAUUAGUCAUUAAGGAAGGUGAAACUUUAACCAAUGUCAAGAUACACAUUCAUAAGAAACUGCAAGUUCCAGAUGAUGAAUUUUCAAAGUGGCUCCAACAUGCUGGAAUUACACAACAAUGUUUCCCAAUCUUGCAAGAAUGUGCAACGAAGGUGCUUUUAUGUUAACUAGUGUGCUCUAUAUCUUGGUUGUCAUUCAAGCUUAGCAACACCUAUUUAUAUGCUAUCAUUGUCGCAUUAGGCAAUUAAAGCUGCCUCAAAUGCAGAGUCCAUUGAAAGUCAUUUAUGUGGCAUGUUAGCAAUUGCAUUGGAGGGUAAUGUAUAGUGCAUGUUUUAUAUAGAUUUGCUCCAAAUCAAAACUUGUGGUCUUCUUAAUUUUCUCUGUAACAUGCAUGCAUAUUUUCCUUGCUUACUUAUCUCUUCUUAGGAGAUAAUACUAAUGCAACUGAUUAUAUAUAUUACAAUCUUGAAAUUUAGCCUAAUUAAACAUCAAUUA
Molecule: long non-coding RNA, 2104 nt
Organism: Zingiber officinale
Lineage: Eukaryota; Viridiplantae; Streptophyta; Magnoliopsida; Zingiberales; Zingiberaceae
Exons: 5
Source: RefSeq, a predicted model, not a curated record